This 247-nucleotide ribosomal RNA is filed under the name uncultured bacterium. RNAcentral's name for it is "partial 16S ribosomal RNA". It matches the Rfam family "Bacterial small subunit ribosomal RNA", at positions 29 to 274 of the family's 1533-position model. The record is from RNAcentral.
ACGAACGCUGGCGGCGUGCUUAACACAUGCAAGUCGAACGGAAAGGCCCUGCUUUUGUGGGGUGCUCGAGUGGCGAACGGGUGAGUAACACGUGAGUAACCUGCCCUUGACUUUGGGAUAACUUCAGGAAACUGGGGCUAAUACCGGAUAGGAGCUCCUGCUGCAUGGUGGGGGUUGGAAAGUUUCGGCGGUUGGGGAUGGACUCGCGGCUUAUCAGCUUGUUGGUGGGGUAGUGGCUUACCAAGGC